CAGUAAUAGUUGCUUGCUUCAUCAUCCAUUAGAAUAUCUUCUAAGGCUUCAGAAGUAGUUGGAGGGUUGGAAAAUUCAGCCAGGCUGAUGAAAUUGUCAGGUUCUUGAUCUGUGCUUAAACACACCGGAGAUGCUGAGAUGAGAUCAGGUACUUCAUAAUCUGUGUCAUGUUAGAUGAUUCCCCAAAUUUGUUGCUAUUUAUAUCCAUCACAUUGUUGGUUUCCAUUGUGUUCUGGAAGACAGGUCGAAGUGCAUCUUUGAAGCUCGGUUGGCAUGUCAGAGCGUCAAACUCAGGUUUCUGAGUGAAUCUUUCCAACUGCAAUCCCAUCAUAUGGGAAUCCCAUGGAGGUCUGUUUGUGACUUGAGCUGAUCCCAGGCUAGGACUAAAAGUUUCCAUCGCGACAGGAGGCAAAACUGAAGUAGUACCAGUGUUCAACAACUGUAAAAUGUUACCUACCAGUAGAACUUUUGCGAGACGAGCAGCAUCCUCUUGAGAUCUCACAAUACCUUCCCAGGUAAGAUUUCUUGAACUAUUAUAGCUGAGAAGCUGAGGUAAUACAGGUAACAAGGUAUCAAGAUGAGUUCUUGGCAUAUGAGUAUCGGGGUCUAUCCCAUUCCGAAGCAGCUUUUUCUUCAGACGAGUAUUCCAGAAGUUCUUGAUCUCGUUAUCGGUUCUCCCUGGCAGGUAACUAGCUAUGACCGACCACCUGGAAACAUAAAAGGGUAAUAAUCAUCAAAUGCAUCAAAGGCUACAAGUUACAUAUUGAGGUUAGUUCAUUACUUGUUGCCUAGCUCUGCAUGAAGAUCGAUAAUGACCCUUUCUUCCUCGUCAGUAAAGGCUCCUCUCUUGAUAUCGGGGCGGAGAUAAUUUGUCCAACGCAGGCGGCAGCUCUUCCCGCACCUAUUGAGCCCCGCAAGCUUUGGCAGCUCUUUCCAGCUGCCAUGGCCGUGUUUCUGAAUGCAGUCAACGAGCAUCCGGUCUUCUUCAGGUGUCCACGGCCCUUUCUUUAAGCCAUUUUCUUCUGUCGUCAUUUCCAUCGUGUUGUGUGUGUGUCUUGAGCAAUUUUAGAUGAACAUGAGUCAGUUUUGUGUGAAAUGUGUGUGUUUAUAGCAUGGUUUUUAUAGUGUGGGAGUGUUUGAAAAUUUGGACAGUGGCGUGCUGUGGAGAGUCAUUGACUCUUGUUUCUUUGCUUUCUUCCUCUCUUUUUCUUCCUUCCUUCUCUAGGUAUCGAAAUAUCGAGCUGGGC
This 1247-nucleotide long non-coding RNA is filed under the name Salvia miltiorrhiza (redroot sage). Its description in RNAcentral is "long non-coding RNA (SMIL_LNC005130)". The record is from RNAcentral. Lineage: Eukaryota; Viridiplantae; Streptophyta; Magnoliopsida; Lamiales; Lamiaceae.